Non-coding RNA from Camelina sativa (false flax), 3321 nucleotides. The record is from RefSeq and is a predicted model, not a curated record. NCBI's taxonomy places the organism in Eukaryota, Viridiplantae, Streptophyta, Magnoliopsida, Brassicales, Brassicaceae.
AAAAGCCAUGGUAUCUAUGUAUGGUCCAAUUACUCGGUAAGGUUCCGAGCCAGCAAAGCAAUGGCCAAGGAGAUGGCCUUGUUAGCCUUCAACCGGGAUCUUAAGCUCUCUAAACAUGCCAAGCAGCAGCAGAUCCGAAAUGGUUUUGAAGAAUGGACAAGUUUCAUAAUCAAUUUUGUCAUCUUAAUCUGAUUCACGAGUAUCAUCAAGCCAACCACAGGACAGGGUGGUCUUAUUUGCGCAUGGCCAAACAGUUGCAGGCUUGCAGGGAUGUUGCUGGACAACAGUAGGCUCUUGCGUUCAAUCCAUGUACCCUAUGCUGGUGCAGAGGAAACCAGUUGGCUCUUGCGUUCAAUCUGUGUGCCUGCUGCUGGUACAGAGUACAUGAGAAGGUGGUCUUACUUGCGUAUUGCCAAACAGUUGCAAUUGUGAGAAAGUUCCAGGGAUGGUGGAGGACAACAGUUGGCUGUUGCUUUCAAUUCGUGUGCUCCCUACUGGUGCAGAGCAAGAAUGUUAAAUUUCAUGUAUCUCUUGGUGGUCCACUUUGUCGGCUUUAGGAGGCGAAUGCUUCUACUGCUGUUGCCAGUCUAUCAAAAGAGAAGGACGAGAUGUUGGCCUCAUGUAGAUUUUUUGACGACAGUGCAGGCAAUGAAGUUCUUUACAUUGCUGCAAAGACUGAACGUGGUGGGAGUAUUUUAAAAUGCAAUACAAAAUCAUGGAAACGAAGAGAUUAAAAGCCUAUAAAAAUAACUCUACAUCAACCUUCAAUGUCUCAGCUGCUUGUGAUUGGGACCCUUGUAGGAGAUGUUAUGAUACUUGACAUACAUCAGCGAGUUCGUGUUCUUCUAAAUCCUCUGCUUCACCAUCUUGUGGAUCGGAGGACCUUGUCUUGUCCAUGGUGUUUCUCUUCAACUACUCCCAUCUUUCUAGAUUAUGACGACCAAAUAAAGGGAGACCAUCAUAAAGACUAGAGAUAAUGUGCAACUUCCAUGAAACCUAAAGAGUUCUGUGAUUUAGUGCAGAUCUCGACAGCUCCAGCUUUGCCUGCACCAAAAAGAAGUACACCACAUCUGCCAGAAUUUUCAGGUAAAUACCCUUCAUCUGCGAGUAUCAAAACUUGAUAACAUAACAGACUCAUAGCUUAAUCUUCAAACAAUGGCAAGGGCUAACCAACAUGCAUAAGUAUCUUCAUAGCUUCCUCGUAAGUCUCUAAUCAGAAUAAUGAUUGGAGGCGUCACUUUACUGAACCAAGGAGCCUUGUGGCCCUGUGCUCCAAAAAAACUCUUGCAGAACUUGUAAUAGGAACUCGAGAAGGCACCAAAAUUCAAAGCAAAACCUUUGAACAAAAAGUUCAUCUUCAGACUCGACUAAACAAAGAGAAGCAGCAGUUCAACUUCAAAAGUUCCUUCCUUGCAUACACCCUAAUAUUGUUUCUAUAGUUUACGUUGAAAUUAUGAUUUAAGGCCCAUGAAGGAACUAAAACGUAAAUGAUUUUUGUACCCAUUUCUAAAUUGGGCCCAUAAUUUAUUUCUUAAUAAGCGAAUUAAGCACACGCGCUUCAGAACAAAAACCCCGGAGGUUGAUCAACGGCGAUUUCGUCUCUCUCGCCGAUGUCGUCCGCAGAGAAGAGGAGGAAGAAGAAGAAGGCGAAGCCGUCGCCUAUACUCUCGCAAUCGACUACUCCAAAUCCUUCACUUCCCGAUGAUUUAAGACCUUUCUCUCUAGUUUUUCAAUACACAACACAUGUGCUAUUAAUUGGGAUCUCUUCUUCCACAGUUCGACUUGGUUCCCCUUUGGUACAUGCUGGUUAUUCUGUUUUAGUCUAAAACAUUUACAUGGUAGCAAAAGAAACCAUACAAAGACCACUUGCCAUAAUUUAUAGCUGAUGUUUAUGUGAGUUGGAAAUGCUCAUUUAGAUUGGCUGUUCUUAUCUUUAGCGAAGUUAGCUACCUGGACAGUUGGGUCUUUAGUACCUAUCUGAUGUUCUUUUUUGUUUUGCCAUUGGCUCCUUUUGCAAUAUGCAUAGGGUGAUCAAGAAUCACCUGGGAUGAUAGUAUGAUACCGCUAGCAAUAGAAGACGUUUUCACUAUCAUCCAGGAUGUCAAGUGGUCUUAACGGGACUCCACGAAAGGACUUCCUGCUUCGUGUUUCAUAUCUUGAUAUAUACAAUGACGUAAGUGGAACGUUUUAUCCUUGAUAUAUACAUACUAAUCCCUGAAAAGUAGAUAUUUUAGGCUGGGGUAUGUUUUCUUGUUCUUCUGCCUUAUCUUUGAGAACUAAAAUGCUUAACAAUAUAAAGAAUUGGCGGAGACUACUCAUGAUCUUCUUUUUUUUAAAGUGUGCUUCUAUGUUUCGGCUGUCUGCAGUUUAUUUGAUGACCGUCUUUGUAUCAGGUGAUAAAUUAUUUAAUUUAUCCAACAUGCCAUAAUUUACGUGUUAGAGAGGAUUCCCAGGUUCGCUUCAACCUCUAUAGGGUGUUUAGCUUUCUCCAUUUUCUCUCACACACCCACAAUCAUUGUGCUCUGCAUAAAAUAAACGUGAUGAAUUACCUAUGAAUUACAUAUGAACUUGAACUUGAUGAACUACCUAUAAAAUAAACGUGAUGAAUUACAUAUGAACUUGAACUUGAUGAACUACCUAUAAAAUAAACGUGAUGAAUUAUAUAUGAACUUGAUAUCAUUUGAAAAAAGAUAAUGGUUCAUAUUGCAUUUUUCUUUUCUUUCUAGGGCACUUAUGUGGAGGGUAUCAAGGAAGAAGUUGUUUUGUCUCCUGGCCAUGCACUAUCAUUUAUUGCAGCUGGAGAAGAACAUCGCCGUGUUGGUUCAGAUAAUUUCAACUUGUAGAACAGCAGAAGCCACACUAUAUUUACACUGGUACGGCUUCAAUCUCCAGGAGCUCGUCAUAAUGUGGUUGAAAGUAGAACCUAAAUGGCGGAAGAGGCGAUACUAGGAUUCUUGCAGAACAAUGAACAGAUCACUGAUUCGGGUCACUUGUCUGCGGUAUUCAACCUUGACUACAACUAAGUCGUCAGCGUCACCAAUGGGUCUCCCCGAGGAUGUUCGAGUAAUUGCUUGGGGUCUUUCUCGUGAAAGACCAACAAUGAUAUUAUACGAUAUCGAGAACAUCCGAGAUUUGUUUGGACACAAGGUAAACCACGAGAUCUUUACUUCUUCUGACUUCUUUGUAUAAACAUUCCCUUGUUCGAUUGCCAUAUAUACUCAAUAUGUGUUUCAUUAUACUCAAAUUCGUGUAUCAUUCUUCUCAUUAAACGGAAUCCAAUCUGCCGAAUUGGAAUCUGAGUGGUAAUCUCUUUUUAUUCAA